This 87-nucleotide transfer RNA is filed under the name Akkermansia sp. RNAcentral's name for it is "tRNA-Ser". It matches the Rfam family "tRNA". From Rfam's summary of the family: Transfer RNA (tRNA) molecules are approximately 80 nucleotides in length. The record is from RNAcentral. RNAcentral also lists the same sequence under 1 other name. Lineage: Bacteria; Pseudomonadati; Verrucomicrobiota; Verrucomicrobiia; Verrucomicrobiales; Akkermansiaceae.
GGAUGGGUGGCAGAGCGGUUUAAUGCAGCGGUCUUGAAAACCGCCGAAGGUUAAUCCCUUCCGUGAGUUCGAAUCUCACCCCAUCCG